Molecule: long non-coding RNA, 1588 nt
Filed under: Strigops habroptila (Kakapo)
Lineage: Eukaryota; Metazoa; Chordata; Aves; Psittaciformes; Psittacidae
Description: lncRNA (ENSSHBG00005001642.1)
Source: RNAcentral
GCCGUGCGGCGCGGAGGGAGGCGGUGCCGCCGCCGCGGAGAGGCGUCGAGGCACCUCGCUUCACCUGCCGCCGGCUCAGCUCGGGGCGGGGCGAGCUGUCUGCUGCAGCUGCAGCUGCUCCGCUUUCCCCCUGGCCGAGGGGCGCAGGUCGCGGGCGGGGAACCGGCCCGCAGGGGCUCCACAGCGCCGGCCCUGCCGCGGCCGGGGCGCUGCGCGGGGCUUGCCCGGGGAGUGUGGCAGCGACACCUGCUGGGCGGGCGAGGGGCGCGUCGCUGCGCCACAGACCCGGGGGCGGCCGGGCGGGAAGCGCCGUGCGGCGGCCGCUGGGGCUGGGGGAGGCGGGGGGUGCCGGCCGGUAAGAAUACCGCCACCGCGGGGGCACGGCAGGAGCCCGGCGCUCCGGGGGAAGGCGGCUGCAGGCAGAGCCGCGCAGCGUGGGCUGGUGCCUGUCCGCUGUGGGGGAGGCGCGCUCGCCUCAGGCAGUUCUGGGGUGGGUGACCAAGUGGGCGCAAGCCUGAGCUUCGGCUUCCCUCGGGAGGCAUGGAUCAGCCGGGCCGCACCGGGAGGGAGGAGGAAGGCGUUUGGCAGCGGGCACGACGCUUGGGUGGGAAUGGGCAACUUUGUCUUCUCCAGGCCCACGACCCAGAUGCCCCCAUCGUCUGCAGAUGCUGUCACAUUGCCCAGGCUUCUUGCAUGGGCUGCCCCAUGUCACCUCACGCAUAACUCAGAACGGCCCAGACAGGCUGCAUCGCACUGUAGUGGGAACUGAGUCGUGUCCCUGUCCCUUCAACUACAGUGGCUGGCUGAUUGUAUUUCUGUAACCAUAACCUUUCGUCCUUUUUUUAACUCCAAGGUGCUAAUUCCUACUGCUGUCUUCAAAACUAAGCAAGCUCUUAAUCCAAUGGCUUUCAUCGCUGACCUGCAGAGCACCUGCGUGGAAUCAAAGCAGCUCUGGCUGAUCACCUAGCUUUGCCCCUUGCUCUGCUGAAACCAUCCUUGGAAAAGCACAGGUGGAUUCAAGAGUUCUGCCAGAGCUGCUGCUUCAAGCCAUCCACCAGCAAGGAAUCGAGGCAUCUGACCACUGUCCUGCAUAUUUCUGAGUUGUUAACAACUAUCACAAUUGCUGCAUGCAAAGUACCUGUACAUGAAGGGUUUUGAUUCAUUGUAUUACCUAUCAGGCUAGAAGGCUGCAUUUAGACGUGGCGUGAGCUCAACCUGAGUCUAAUUACAGUGUAGAAAAAAUAGCAGUGCAAAAUGUUACCAAUUUUUAACAGACUAGAGUAAGUGUAACCUACUUUCUCCAGAUACGAUCUGUGUAAAAAGAUCUUGGUUUAUCUGAACUAUUUGCAAUGCUAGAAGCAUCAGAAUUACUGCACUUUUAAAACCAAUUGGAAUGAAGGAAAGACUGUUCUAGCCGUGAAAUGUAUUUCAAGACCCAUUUAUUAAUAUUUGUCCUAAACUAAUUAGGUGAUACAAAGAGUAUACUUACUAAGAGUAAGUGCUAAAAUUCUGAGAAUGAUGCAUUUUAUUUCUCUCAGAAAACAGAAAUAAAAUGUUUAUCAAAAUCAUUGCUAAUGGUAUUUAAAAA